This 3733-nucleotide long non-coding RNA is filed under the name Salmo salar (Atlantic salmon). RNAcentral's name for it is "lncRNA (ENSSSAG00000083775.1, ENSSSAG00000099832.1)". The record is from RNAcentral. Lineage: Eukaryota; Metazoa; Chordata; Actinopteri; Salmoniformes; Salmonidae.
AUUGCCUUACUGGCUGGCAACGUCCUUAUCCCUUGCUUGCUAGCUAGCCAAUUUACAGUCACGUCAAACAGUGCAGACAGAAAAACAACAGUAGCUGCAAUUGUUUAAGCUGUUUUCUAGUGACAUUUAUUUGGAUUCAUCCAUAACAAUGAGCUAAUGUUAUGUGAGGCGCGAUUUCGUCAAGAAACUUGUUCAGAGGAGCUAGCCAACACAAUCACUUCACAUUUUAACUGGAAAGACUGCAAACUACAGUAGCUGCACUUUAUUUCGUUUUAACUUUUUUCAAUUGCCAUUUUUUUUGUGAUGCCAGCUGAUUCAUGAUUUCGACUGGCUGAGAAACGCUGCCUGCCUGUCAAUCUCGUCCCGACUCGUUCAUUACUAUGGGACAGCUGUAGAUCGAAUUUGAAUAUUGAAACGAUAUUGCAAAUAUCGGAGAGACAGACAGCAAGGUUAAUACAAAUCUCUGCUGUUGGAAACUAAAUGUUAUUCUAAAAAAAAUGUGAGAUAAUGUCUAGAUGCUUUUUAUAGUGGAGAUCAAGUUUAUAAUUUGCCUGGCUGGGUUGAUGAGACAGUGGAUUGCGCAGUCAAAUGGAACAGAGUAAAUAGCCAUAUUAACGUCAUAGAUUUAGCUCUUGGUAGCUUGUGGAAUAGACACCGGCUGGGAUGCGCUUUUAACCAGCAUUCAGGGUACAGGAUUAGACCCACCCGUUGUAUAAAACAGACCAACAGACCAACACAUCUUCACACGAAUGUCCACGGUGGGUCUCUGUAAAUUAUGCGAUUAUAUUGGAGACAGUUUAAUAGCGGUGACUGUCAUCAAUUCAUUUACUCUUAUAGUAUUUCUAAGUAGAAUCCAUAUCAGCCAGGGAAACUUUGUGAUAGAACAUUCAGAUUUGUCUGCCUGACUGUGGGACUCUAUACCUGAAUUAUUAGGAUUUUUUUGUGAUCACAACAAAACUAGGUAUUUUGAUCAAAUAUAGAUAUAAUAAAUGUUUAUCUUUCAAAAUAUGGGCCUGGCUGAGAAUAUAACAUUAAGUUUUCUGCCUGAGUGUGGCGCUGUUUACCACAUUUUUUAAAUCAUUUUGUGACUGUAACAAAGCUACUUUUACUCAACUAGAGAUGAAAAUAAAUAGUGUUUCUUUAAAAAGAUGGGCCUGGCUAACAUGGACUGUUUCCUCACCUUAUUCUCCUUGUGGUUAUCCAUGGUUGUUGGUUAUUUGCCAGGUAAAAGUAAUUAUUUUGUAUGUUUUUGCUGGACAUCUAGAGAAUAUUAAUUUAUUAUAAUAAUAAACUACUUUAUUCUGCUAACUGCAUACAAGUACAUUUCCCUGUUAUAGGAAUGGAAUGGAGUUGUAGAGUUGUAAUUUAGAGUUAGAAGAAGUGAAAACUAUACAAGGACUGAAGCAAUAGACUCCUCACUCAACUAGAUAUUGAAAUAAAUUGUGUUUCUUUGAAAAGAUGGGCUUGGCUGAUAUAAAAAUACAUUAAGGGGAAAGGAUCCAAUGACACAGAGGCUGAUUAUCUUUCUGCACAUCUCUUUAUUUACAAUGCUGGCUGCCAUUGUUAACACAAUUGCAGGACAUUAAAUGCUACCUGAAUUUACUAAAAAAAGUAACAUAAGUAGGCCUACAGUAUCACAGCGAGGUCAAACAGGUGUGUGUGUGUGUGUUAGUCAGACUGUCCAGUGUCCACAACAACACUACUGAUUAUUCUCUACCCCCAGUGUAUGUGGUGUACUAUGGUUUUAGGCAUGCGCUCACAAACCCUCAUCUUUUCUCUUUCUCUGUCUCUCCUUCCGGAGGACCUGAGGCUCUUGGACUGCGACUGAGGACACCCCAGCCUGACACCUGAAUGUGCCUGGCCCAAUCCCACCUUGCCCUCCUCUACCAGCCUGUGGCUACCUCCACUGAUUCUUUCUCCCCCUCAAGUCACUAACCUACUCCCCACACACCUAGAAACUUGUAUUUCAUUACUUACCAUAUGACUUUAUGAAAGGCCAUCGGUUCAUGGAGUCUUAAAGUGUGAGUACUUUCUCUAUAGUCAUUAUGGAUAUUGUCUGAGCCUGCUGGCCAGUAAUACUGGUAUUGCCCUUUCCUUAUUGAAAUUGUGAAUAAAGGAAGACUAUGCUUUCAUUUUCUAUUAAAACACAAUGAAGACAUUGUUAGAUUGAAUGAAUGCUUUUAUACUGUCUGUAUCUCUGUAUUACAGUAAAUCAAAUACAGAUUCGUGCAAACUGGAAGUGUGACUUCUUUCCCCAAUGAUUUCUGAAGGCUGAGGUACUUUUUCAUUUAUCAGUUAUUCCAUACCAACACUAGAUGAGGCUGAAUGGCAACAACACCACACACACCUGCAAAGCAACUUAUUCAUCUCAUUGCCAUUACAGAACCACCCACCAUCAACGGACCAAGCAGCGUGGGAGAAAGGAGUCAUGGACCUGUGAGGAAAUCCUGGAUGGGGCAGGACCGUGGACAAGGCCGGGAGAAUACCGCCGCCUGCCGGAGGAGAUAGAGGCAGCGAGGGCAGAACGGCGUUUCUGGGAGGAUCGGCUGGCACGGGAAGUGCCAUGCUAGAGUGGGCAUCGAGCCAGGACGGGUUGUGCAGGCCGUGCGCUCCAGACCUCCAGUGCGUCUCCAGGACCCGGUCUAUCCUGUGCCUGCUCCCAGAGCCAGGCCUCCUGCAUGUCUCCCCAGCCUGGUGCGUCCUGUGCCUGCGCCCAGAGCCAGGCCUCCUGCAAGUCUCCCCAGCCUGGUGCGUCCUGUGCCUGCUCCCAGAGCCAGGCCUCCUGCAUGUCUCCCCAGCCUGGUGCGUCCUGUGCCUGCGCCCAGAGCCAGGCCUCCUGCAAGUCUCCCCAGCCUGGUGCGUCCUGUGCCUGCUCCCAGAGCCAGGCCUCCUGCAUGUCUCCCCAGCCUGGUGAGUCCUGUGCCUGCGCCCAGAGCCAGGCCUCCUGCAUGUCUCCCCAGCCUGGUGAGUCCUGUGCCUGCGCCCAGAGCCAGGCCUACUGAAAGGCCCGCCUGUCCGGCGCAGCCAGAGUCGCCCGCCUGUCCGGCGCAGCCAGAGUCGCCCGCCUGUCCGGCGCAGCCAGAGUCGCCCGCCUGUCCGGCGCAGCCAGAGUCGCCCGCCUGUCCGGCGCAGCCAGAGUCGCCCGCCUGUCCGGCGCUGCCGGCGAGGGACCCCGCUCUAGAGGCGCCACCAAAGUGGGGUGAACCAGUGGUGGAGCGGGGUCUGCGUCCCGCUCCUGAGACACCUCCGUAGGGGGGAGGAUUGGGAAGGGGGGUUGUAGCACAAGAACCGUCGUUGACGGUGGCCACCCUCCCUUCCCUCCCUUUUAGUUUGGGGUUGUUUUUGUGUUUUUUUUGUUUUUGUUUGAGGUGCAUUUCGGGGUCUGCAUCUUUGGGGGGGGUGUACUGUCACGUCCUGACCAGUAAAAGGGGUUAUUUGUUAUUGUAGUUUAGUCAGGGCGUGGCAGGGGGUGUUUUUCUGUGUGUUUUGGGGUUACAUUCUAUGUCCUUUUUUGUAUGUUUGGUAUUUCUUUGUUUUUGGCCUGGUAUGGCUCUCAAUCAGGGACAGCUGUACAUCGUUGUCGCUGAUUGGGAGCCAUUCUUAGGUAGCCUGUUUCCCUUUGGGUUUUGUGGGUGGUUUAUUUCUGUUGAGUUAUUUUACCUGACAGAACUGUUUGGCUGUCUUUUGUUUAUUUGUAAAGUGUUCUAAUUUUCCAAUAAAUUACAAAGAUGAG